RNAcentral lists this ribosomal RNA (468 nucleotides) under uncultured bacterium. RNAcentral's name for it is "partial 16S ribosomal RNA". It matches the Rfam family "Bacterial small subunit ribosomal RNA", at positions 28 to 507 of the family's 1533-position model. The record is from RNAcentral.
GACGAACGCUGGCGGCGUGCUUAACACAUGCAAGUCGAACGGAAAGGCCCUGCUUUUGUGGGGUGCUCGAGUGGCGAAAGGGUGAGUAACACGAGAGUAACCUGCCCUUGACUUUGGGAUAACUUCAGGAAACUGGGGUUAAUACCGGAUAGGAGCUCCUGCUGCAUGGUGGGGGUUGGAAAGUUUCGGCGGUUGGGGAUGGACUCGCGGCUUAUCAGCUUGUUGGUGGGGUAGUGGCUUACCAAGGCUUUGACGGGUAGCCGGCCUGAGAGGGUGACCGGCCUCAUGGGGACUGAGAUACGGCCCAGACUCCUACGGGAGGCAGUAGUCGGGAAUAUUGCACAAUGGUCGGAAGCCUGAUGCAGCAGCGCCGCGUGCGUGAUGACGGCCUUCGGGUUGUAAACCGCUUUCGCCUGUUACGAAGCGUGAGUGACGGUAAUGAGUAAAGAAGCACCGGCUAACUACGUG